This 439-nucleotide ribosomal RNA is filed under the name uncultured bacterium. Its description in RNAcentral is "partial 16S ribosomal RNA". It matches the Rfam family "Bacterial small subunit ribosomal RNA", at positions 338 to 795 of the family's 1533-position model. The record is from RNAcentral.
CCUACGGGGGACAGCAGUGGGGAAUAUUGCACAAUGGGCGAAAGCCUGAUGCAGCAACGCCGCGUGAGCGAUGAAGGCCUUCUGGUCGUAAAGCUCUGUCCUCAAGGAAGAUAAUGACGGUACUUGCGGAGCACGCCCCGGCUAACUACGUCCCAGCAGCCGCGAUAAUACGUCGGGGGCUAGCGUUAUCCGGAAUUACUGGGCGUAAGGGGUGCGUAGGUGGUUUCUUAAGUCAGCGGUAAAAGGCUACGGCUCAACCGUGGUAAGCCGUUGAAACUGCGAAACUUGAGUGCAGGAGAGGAGAGUGGAAUUCCUAGUGUAGCGGUGAAAUGCGUAGAUAUUAGGAAGAACACCAGUUGCGAAGGCGGCUCACUGGACUGUAACUGACACUGAGGCACGAAAGCGUGGGGAGCAAACAGGAUUAGAUACCCUUGUAGUC